CUAAACGUUUUCUGCGCGACCUCGUCUGUCCUAACAGCCUAGCAAGGCAGGUGGGGAUGGAGUGGGGUUCCUCAGAGGCAAGGACCGAUGGCUCCUCCACACAGUUGGAUGCCUGGUGACUGGGCUGUGCACUUCACAUCCCGCCAGCGUGAGAGACGGAUCCGGUUUCUCCGCAUUUGCUGUUGUCACCGAUUUUUACUUCAGCCGUUCUGAUAGUUACACCGGAGCAGACUCUGCAUCUCCAGAACACCCCGGGACAGCUCCAGGCCUCCUUGGCCAGCGGAUCUCUUGGAGUCAUCUCGGAACCGCUGCUCCUGCUCCUUGGCCAAAGAAGUGAAUGCAGGGGCAUGAGCCCCCUGCCCUGGCUUCUGUUUGUCCCCCCCUCCCGGAGCCCUUAGUGGAGAGCACACAGAGCAGCGGGAAUGGGGUUCUGCCGACUCCCAGGCCCAGAUUGGUCCCUGGCCGUGGGCCUCCGACGUGCCGCUGAGCCUGGAGGACAGCAGGUGCAGGUGACCCCGAAUCACUAGGAGUGACGAGGCCCAGUUUGGACCCUACAGCCCCAGGCCUGGCGCACUCAGUGCUCCGAGCUGCCUCAGCCUUCACGAUGUGUGGCAGGGGUUCGCUGAGCUCCAAGGGGGCAAGCCAGAGGGUGCCAGGGGGUCCCAGCGUUCAACUCCCCACCUCCCACCACAGCGGGCAGGCUCCCUUACAGUUCUGGUGGGAAUAUUUUUCAUUAUCUUCCCUCUCAAUUUAAUUAAUCCACAUUCAGUAAUGAACCUUGAAAUUUCAA
Choloepus didactylus (southern two-toed sloth) is the source of this 790-nucleotide long non-coding RNA. RefSeq lists it as uncharacterized. Lineage: Eukaryota; Metazoa; Chordata; Mammalia; Pilosa; Megalonychidae. The record is from RefSeq and is a predicted model, not a curated record. The transcript has 4 exons.